CCCUUAGAGUUUGAUCCUGGCUCAGGAUGAACGCUGGCGGCGUGCCUAAUACAUGCAAGUCGAACGAAUCUCUUCGGAGAUGAGUGGCGAACGGGUGAGUAAUACAUAGGUAACCUGCCCCUGUGCGGGGGAUAACAGGAGGAAACUCCUGCUAAUACCGCAUAGCCAUGAGCACCGCAUGGAGCUCAUGCCAAAUAUCCUUUCGGGGAUAGCGCAGGGAUGGACCUAUGGCGCAUUAGCUUGUUGGCGGGGCAACGGCCCACCAAGGCAACGAUGCGUAGCCGGCCUGAGAGGGCGGACGGCCACAUUGGGACUGAGACACGGCCCAGACUCCUACGGGAGGCAGCAGUAGGGAAUUUUCGGCAAUGGGGGAAACCCUGACCGAGCAACGCCGCGUGAGCGAAGAAGGCCUUCGGGUCGUAAAGCUCUGUUGUAAAGGAAGAACGGCGCAUACAGGAAAUGGUAUGCGAGUGACGGUACUUUACCAGAAAGCCACGGCUAACUACGUGCCAGCAGCCGCGGUAAUACGUAGGUGGCGAGCGUUAUCCGGAAUCAUUGGGCGUAAAGAGGGAGCAGGCGGCCGCAAGGGUCUGUGGUGAAAGACCGAAGCUAAACUUCGGUAAGCCAUGGAAACCGGGCGGCUAGAGUGCGGAAGAGGAUCGUGGAAUUCCAUGUGUAGCGGUGAAAUGCGUAGAUAUAUGGAGGAACACCAGUGGCGAAGGCGACGGUCUGGGCCGCAACUGACGCUCAUUCCCGAAAGCGUGGGGAGCAAAUAGGAUUAGAUACCCUAGUAGUCCACGCCGUAAACGAUGGUCACUAAGUGUCGGGGGUCAAACCCCGGUGCUGCAGUCAACGCAAUAAGUGACCCGCCUGAGUAGUACGUUCGCAAGAAUGAAACUCAAAGGAAUUGACG
RNAcentral lists this ribosomal RNA (913 nucleotides) under uncultured bacterium. RNAcentral's name for it is "bacterial SSU rRNA". It matches the Rfam family "Bacterial small subunit ribosomal RNA", at positions 1 to 915 of the family's 1533-position model. The record is from RNAcentral.